Molecule: ribosomal RNA, 460 nt
Filed under: uncultured bacterium
Lineage: Bacteria
Description: partial 16S ribosomal RNA
Rfam family: Bacterial small subunit ribosomal RNA
Source: RNAcentral
CCUACGGGAGGCAGCAGUGAGGAAUAUUGGUCAAUGGGCGCAAGCCUGAACCAGCCAAGUCGCGUGCAGGAAGACGGCCCUAUGGGUUGUAAACCUCUUUUAUCGGGGAGUAAAGCACGUCACGUGUGGCGCUUCGCGUGUACCCUAUGAAUAAGCACCGGCUAACUCCGUGCCAGCAGCCGCGGUAAUACGGAGGGUCCGGGCGUUAUCCGGAUUUAUUGGGUUUAAAGGGAGCGUAGGCGGGAUGUCAAGCGAGCUGUAAAAUUUGGGGGCUCAACCCUGGCCGUGCAGCGGAAACUGGCGUGCUUGAGUGCGCGGGAAGCAGGCGGAAUGCGUGGUGUAGCGGUGAAAUGCAUAGAUAUGACGAAGAACCCCGAUUGCGAAGGCAGCAUGCUGGAGCGGAACUGACGCUGAUGCUCGAAAGUGUGGGUAUCGAACAGGAUUAGAUACCCGGGUAGUC